This 850-nucleotide long non-coding RNA is filed under the name Cricetulus griseus (Chinese hamster). RNAcentral describes it as "lncRNA (ENSCGRG00015033944.1)". Lineage: Eukaryota; Metazoa; Chordata; Mammalia; Rodentia; Cricetidae. The record is from RNAcentral.
GGAACCUGUCACGCAUACUCCUGCUGAACUGCGCCUCUUCUAUGACCAAAGUCAUAUAUUGACGUUGACGUCCUGCCUCCAGCUGCCUUUAGAGUGUGACCUCCUUGGAAGUGUUUUAUUUUCCCCCAGAGGGACAGACCAUAAUUCAACAUGACUGCUCCCAGGACAAAGACUCAAGAUAGAAUAACCAGGCCACAACGAUCUGUUGUCUCUGAAAGUCGCUGGUUGAGCUGAACUGGCAGUCAACUGGAUCCUUCCAACAACAGCCUGCCUUUCCUUGCUGCCGACAGACCAAGCAUGGCUCCUCCUUUAGCAACGGCUGCUGGAGCCUUUAUCCAGUAGCUGAUGGAAACAGAAGCAGAGACCCACAGCUAAGCACUGAGCUGAACUCCUGGAAUCCAGUUGUAGAGAAGGAAGAGGGAUGAGCAAAGGUGUCAAGACCAUGCUGGGGAAACCCACAGAAACAGAUGACCUGAACAAGGAGGAGCUCAUGAACCCCAGACUGUACAAGGUUUACAGUACAAUAACUAAAUUUCCUCCUGUGUAGUGGGCCUCUAAUCCAGUCAGAAAGCAGUUGGUUACUGAUUUGUUUGCCACUAUUGCACUAUAGGCACUAUAGGUACACUUUGCCUGGCAGGUCAGUAGUGUAGCUUGCAGGGUCCAUAGCUGAGUAAGACUGUUGAAGACUUUUUCUCCCCAGUAGCACCUUCUAGCACUGUGAAUGCUGGCCAGAAUAUGUGUGUGUGUGUGUGUAAAUUCUCUUUUCUUUCUCUGUUCCUUUGUUUCUCUCUCGUUCUGUCUUUUUGUUCUCUCUCCCUCUCCCCCGCCCCUCUCUGUUCUUAUUCUGUAG